Hipposideros armiger (great roundleaf bat) is the source of this 359-nucleotide long non-coding RNA. RefSeq lists it as uncharacterized. The record is from RefSeq and is a predicted model, not a curated record. NCBI's taxonomy places the organism in Eukaryota, Metazoa, Chordata, Mammalia, Chiroptera, Hipposideridae. The transcript is spliced from 3 exons.
GCCAUUUAAAAACAAACAUACUCCUUUCCCGCAAAAGAUAUUUCUUCAAAAGGCUAGAUCUGGCCAGUUUCACACAAUACCUGCAUUCAGAGACUGGAUCUCCCUGGUUCUUUCCGUGGUUAAAAUGGGAAGAAGGAAGCCUGGGAGGAACUGAGCCCCUCAGGUGUGGAGAGGGGCUACCAUCAGAAGGGGCAAUGUCUGUCCAGGCCACAGGCCUGGUAACAGAGCACUGGAGACCUACCCAUGAUUUGAAUGUUGGAAUCAUGGUCCAAGUAGGAAACGAUACAAAAAGUUGAUGAUAAAAGAAAUACAUGUAAGAUGAUUGAUUGCACUGUGAAAUACAUGCGGUAUUAAGAUGU